Arabidopsis lyrata subsp. lyrata is the source of this 1556-nucleotide long non-coding RNA. RefSeq lists it as uncharacterized. Lineage: Eukaryota; Viridiplantae; Streptophyta; Magnoliopsida; Brassicales; Brassicaceae. The record is from RefSeq and is a predicted model, not a curated record. The transcript is spliced from 4 exons.
UUGAAGUGAAUAUAUAGGGUUUUUCGAUUUGCAUUUACCAUAGAAAUGAAUAUAUAGGAUUUUUAAUAUGCAAAUCUUGUAUUUAGUAUUUACAAUAGAAAUGGGAAAGUGGGAAGUGGCCCAUGUAAAUCACAAAGCGUAGCCCAACAAAUACUAAACGAUGCGUUUGGCAAUCGUCAUGUCCCUUGUUUUUUAAUGGUUAUUUCCGAGAGAGAGAUGGAGGAAGACGCUAGCUUUGACGGUGGCGGAGAGUUCGUUGGAGGCGAUUUAACCGGCAGUAUAAAAUGGUGUUGGUACAAUAUGUUGAGACGACACAAUCUGGUACAUCUUCUUCGAAGUGAUCCUUCACUUGUAGACUGCGAUUUUCUGUUUUUCUUCAACGAUUGCUAACAGGGAAAACCUAACCGUUGAGCUAAUCCACAGUGACUCUCCUCAUUCUCCACUUUACAACCCUCACCACACCGUCUCUGACGGUCUCAACGCUGCUUUCCUCCGCUCAAUCUCACGCUCUCGCCGUUUCAAUACCAAAACCGACCUCCAAUCCGGGUUGAUCUCAAAUGGCGGCGAAUACUUCAUGAGUAUCUCAAUCGGUACUCCUCCGUCGAAAGUCCUUGCCAUCGCUGACACGGGAAGUGACCUAACUUGGGUUCAAUGCAAGCCAUGUCAACAAUGUUACAAACAAAACAGUCCACUCUUCGACAAGAAGAUAUCUAAGGGAAAGGAAGGAGAAAAACCCUAACGAAAUUCCUACCAUUUUUGUUUUCAUUUGCAGUUGCGAAUUGGGAUCGGCUAAAGCAGCUCCGAUUGCACAACAAUGGCUUCUCGUAUCAUCAUCAAUCAUUCCUAAAAGGUUCUUAAACUUGGACGCACCAUGCGGCUUUGUAAGGUCUCAAAUGUCAAAUCUCUGAGAUUGGAAAAUGAAGCAACCAUUGAUUUCUGGAAAUGCUUCUCUUAUCGUGUUAAAAGGUAAACUUUGUGCUGAUGUGUAAUUCUCUGUUAGCGAAAACAUAUUUAUAGAUGUCAUAGUCUCUUGGCGUUUAGGUUAGAGAAUUUAAGAAAUUCGUGUUGAGAAAGUAUAGAAUAUCUUUACAAAUCUUUGAUUCAAUAAUAUAUAGAAUAUGCUUUAUAGAUAUUUCGUCAAAAUUAAGAACAAAUAGUUUGAUUUAUUAGACAUUUCCAGUUGAUGUUGUGUAUAUUGAAUGUAGACAUUAUAUUGUUCAAUUUUAUUAGGAAACUGAAUAGAUUUGUAGAAUAUAUUUAGCAUAUAAAUGGGAUACAAUGAGAUAAACAAAUCGUCAGAAAUUAAAGUAUAUUGUUAGGAUUCCAUGUUUAGUUGUUAUAAUCGUAUAAUUAAUGUUGUAAUUAUUGUUGUUUAUUUUUGUAGAAAAAAUCUUACCAAAAUAGAUUAUACAUAAUAAUAGUCAAAAUUUGUGGAAGAGAUUCCAUUGUUAGGAUUUGUUAGAUUAGGAAUGUAAUUAAGAGGAUAUUUAGUCGAAUUAGUUGAUUUUUUUUUUGGAAAGUCGCAUUUAAAAGAAUCCGAGAGUUUUGAUUGGCCA